UUUCCGUAGGUGAACCUGCGGAAGAAUCAUUAACGAGUUAGGGUCUUCUAGGCCCGACCUCCCAACCCUUUGUUUACUGAACCAUUGUUGCCUCGGUGGGUCCGUCUUACGACCGCCGGGGGAUCGCCGCGAGGCGCCCCCUGCCAGCGCCCACCGAUAGCCCAACCUUUAAAACCCUUUGUGAAUCGUGUCUUAUGUCUAAAUUUAUGAUUAAACAAUCAAAACAAAACUUUCAACAACGGAUCUCUUGGUUCUG
Molecule: unclassified non-coding RNA, 256 nt
Filed under: plant metagenome
Description: partial contains small subunit ribosomal RNA, internal transcribed spacer 1, and 5.8S ribosomal RNA
Source: RNAcentral